GAUGAAGAACGCAGCGAAAUGCGAUAAGUAAUGUGAAUUGCAGAAUUCAGUGAAUCAUCGAAUCUUUGAACGCACCUUGCACCCUUUGGCAUUCCGAAGGGUAUGCUCGUUUGAGUGUCAUUGUACUCUCACUCUCCCGAUGCUUUUGGAUCGGGAGUGGUGGACUUGGGUGUUGCUGCUUUGCUGUGGCUCGCCUCAAAUGGAGUAGUGCAACUCUUGGUUGGACAUAGUACGGCGUGAUAAGUGUCUUCGCCGGCGCCUCCUUAUAGAGGGUGGCCGAUCGGGAGCUCUGUGCUUCAAACCGUCUUCGGACAACAUCUGACAACUUGACCUCAAAUCGAGUAGGACUACCCGCUGAACUUAAGCAUAUCAAUAAGCGGAGGA
Molecule: unclassified non-coding RNA, 384 nt
Filed under: soil metagenome
Description: partial contains 5.8S ribosomal RNA, internal transcribed spacer 2, and large subunit ribosomal RNA
Rfam family: 5.8S ribosomal RNA (bases 1-120)
Source: RNAcentral